UACGGGGGGGGCAAGCGUUGUUCGGAAUUACUGGGCGUAAAGGGCUCGUAGGUGGCCAACUAAGUCAGACGUGAAAUCCCUCGGCUUAACCGGGGAACUGCGUCUGAUACUGGAUGGCUUGAGUUCGGUAGGGGACCACGGAAUUCCUGGUGUAGCGGUGAAAUGCGCAGAUAUCAGGAGGAACACCCGUGGCGAAGGCGGCUCUCUGGGACGGUACUGACGCUGAGACGCGGAAGCGUGGGGAGCGAACAGG
Molecule: ribosomal RNA, 253 nt
Filed under: uncultured bacterium
Lineage: Bacteria
Description: partial 16S ribosomal RNA
Rfam family: Bacterial small subunit ribosomal RNA
Source: RNAcentral